Molecule: unclassified non-coding RNA, 319 nt
Filed under: uncultured Papiliotrema
Lineage: Eukaryota; Fungi; Basidiomycota; Tremellomycetes; Tremellales; Tremellaceae
Also listed under: 1 other name
Description: sequence contains ITS1
Rfam family: 5.8S ribosomal RNA (bases 1-105)
Source: RNAcentral
GAAAUGCGAUAAGUAAUGUGAAUUGCAGAAUUCAGUGAAUCAUCGAAUCUUUGAACGCACCUUGCGCCUUUUGGUAUUCCGAAAGGCAUGCCUGUUUGAGUGUCAUGAAAUCUCAAUCCUCCUAGGUUUUUGACCUGGUUGGACUUGGACAUGGGCGUCUGCCAGCAAUGGCUCGCCUUAAAUGACUUAGUGGAACAUCCCACAUCAGUGUUAGACGUAAUAAGUUUCGUCUCUCCUUGUGGUGAUGACUGCUCAUAAUCUGCCAUCGCGCACUUUUGACUUUGACCUCAAAUCAGGUAGGGCUACCCGCUGAACUUAA